AAGAAACAGAGAGCGAGUGGCCUGCAUGCGUAAUGAACGCGGGAAGUUUCCCCAUCCGUCGCCCUCAACACGAGCCGCUCGUCCACAACGGCACCACCGAGGAGUCCGACGCUUUAAUGGCGCCCGUCAGCUCCUCCGUUGUCCGCCUCCCCUCCCUCUCCUCUCAGCCCCCAGUGCAGUGACCUCCUUCUUGCUCCAUCAAUGGCGGAUCUGCAGAAGCACCUCAAGGACCUGCUCAAGAAAGGGAUGGAGGUGGUCGGCUCCUCCUGCAAGAAGGGCUGGUACCGAGUUCGAAAUCUCAGGUGACGAAGCUGCUCCCGUCCCACCUCAAAACAGAAGGAGAAAGGGAAAGGAGGGGAGAAAGAAAGACUGUUGAUUCGUCUUCUACCUCUCUUCUUCUCAGUAGAUGCCCUCCUUUGUCUUCGUCUCUACCAGCAAAGUUAAUGUACGUUUCAACUUGUUGCAGGUUCAUCAUCUGUUAUCAGCAACAUUAUAGACACAUCAAUGCAUCUAUUGAUUUGUUGUGUGUUGUUUCUUUAGUUUCAGAUAAUUCUCUCCUAUACAUAUUAUAUUUUAAGACUCUAAUCAUCUUUGUUAUUCGUUUGUUAUAUUACUUUAUUUUCACAUAAACCAUUGAAGAAAUAAUGGAUGAUUAAUAUCUCAUAGACUUUCACCAGAUGGGAGUAUAUAUUAUUAUUUAUAUUAUUAGAGAGGUUAUUUUCGUGAGUCGGAAUGAUCUUAGUAUUCACCUUCAAAAUUCUACUCUUUUGUCUGAAAAUUUUCGAAGUGAAGCCAAUCUGAUAAUAUUUUAUUUCUUAGCACUAUAUAUAAAACCAUUAUUGUAUUUUAUAUAGUAAUUAAGAGUAUGUAACUACAUAUGUUAAUUUGUGUCUCAGGUGUGAAGUGCCGACCUGUUGUGGAGGUUUGAGAGACAAUGUUGAGACAGCCUGCAGCCUCAAGACAUUUGUUUGUGUGUGUGAGAGAGAGAGAGAGAGAGGAAUUUGAUCGGGCAAGUUAAAUGCAAAUUGUAUACUCUUAGAUUAGCACUAUAAUAAUAAUAAUAAUAAUAAAGUUGAUUAUGUGAGCAAUA
This 1090-nucleotide long non-coding RNA is filed under the name Musa acuminata (dwarf banana). RNAcentral's name for it is "long non-coding RNA (MACU_LNC004849)". The record is from RNAcentral. Lineage: Eukaryota; Viridiplantae; Streptophyta; Magnoliopsida; Zingiberales; Musaceae.